This is a non-coding RNA of Gossypium hirsutum (cotton), 107 nucleotides long. NCBI's taxonomy places the organism in Eukaryota, Viridiplantae, Streptophyta, Magnoliopsida, Malvales, Malvaceae. The record is from Rfam.
AACCCGUGAUGAGGUCACCUUCUCAAAAGAUAUUUAAAUCUCUCCCAUGCAUCAUAUAAUGUCCCUAUAUCAAAUUGAACAAAGGAAAAGAUGUCGUUUCUCAACUU